ACCAUUAAAUAAAUAUUCGGUUCUGGUGGGGAGCAGUCACCAGAGGUAACGGGGAAAGUAUACCUGCAAUCUUUCGUAGGUGAACGGUGUAAGUCCGGCGCUGUCCCGCAACUGUGAAGGAAAGAAAACUCUUGUAACUUUCCCAGUCAGAACGCCCGCCGAAAUUGACGAUUCUCA
RNAcentral lists this non-coding RNA (177 nucleotides) under Nostoc sp. The record is from RNAcentral. Lineage: Bacteria; Bacillati; Cyanobacteriota; Cyanophyceae; Nostocales; Nostocaceae.